GUCUAUGGCCAUACCACCCUGAACGUACCCGAUCUCAUCUGAUCUCAGAAGCUAAGCAGGGUUGGGCUUGGUUAGUACUUGGAUGGGAGAAAAUUGGUUCUGAGAGUGGGUUUGUUGCUACAGUGG
RNAcentral lists this ribosomal RNA (126 nucleotides) under Jaculus jaculus (lesser Egyptian jerboa). The record is from RNAcentral. Lineage: Eukaryota; Metazoa; Chordata; Mammalia; Rodentia; Dipodidae.